UACAGAGGGGGCAAGCGUUGUUCGGAAUUACUGGGCGUAAAGGGCGCGUAGGCGGCCCGCUAAGUCGAACGUGAAGUCCCCGGGCUCAACCCGGGAACUGCGUCCGAUACUGGCAGGCUUGAAUCCGGGAGAGGGAUGCGGAAUUCCAGGUGUAGCGGUGAAAUGCGUAGAUAUCUGGAGGAACACCGGUGGCGAAGGCGGCAUCCUGGACCGGUAUUGACGCUGAGGCGCGAAAGCCAGGGGAGCAAACGGG
This 253-nucleotide ribosomal RNA is filed under the name uncultured bacterium. RNAcentral's name for it is "partial 16S ribosomal RNA". It matches the Rfam family "Bacterial small subunit ribosomal RNA", at positions 524 to 776 of the family's 1533-position model. The record is from RNAcentral.